UCACCCUUAUGUUGGUCUAGGGUUAUGAUUCUUGCUUAAGGUGCAAGGAGUCCCAGAUUCAAAUCCCAGAUGAGCCCAACUUUUGAGUAGUAAAUUCUGAAGAAUUGAAGAAACAAUCUGGUUGAAUAAAAAAGCCCUGAGAAAGGCCUGAUGCUACGCUGGUAUCCGCAACACCCAGUGUAGUCGCCGGCAGGCUAAUGAAGACUUUCUACUGGCUUCAACCCAUGUCUGAGCAGUUCUCUGAGUCCAAAGGCACAGAGUGUAUUUUCAGUACAGGCCCUGAUAGGAUGGGCUGACAUUUCCUACUGAGAACUGGUCCAGACAGCUUUCUCAGCACAGCCUAAGGAUAAGAAGAUACCCGUAUUUCAUAUCGUAUUCAUCCGGGUCCAAUGAGGACAGAAAAAACAAUCACGUAAUAAUUUGAUAGGAAAAGCAUAAUAAAAAGGAAUAAUGAUACGUGUAGAGAUGGAAGAUAAUUGGGACAUCUCUGACUCUUGAGGAUGAAAUAAGGCACCUGGGAUCAUCACACACAUCAGAACUGAGAUAUACAUUUUUGGAGGAUGUGACCGUGACCAUUAAUCUCCAUUUUCAACUUGUUGGAACCAUGGAGUCAUCAUGGAAAUGCACAUCUGGGUGUGUCCAUUGAGCCAUCCUUCCAUCUCCUGAAAGCCUAGUCUUAAUUGUAAUUCUAUAUUCUCAUUUUUAUGGAGUUGUGACUGCUUCUUGUGUGUGUGUGUUGAUGAGACAAUGAGUUUGCCUUAUGUUGGUAAUUCUUGAUGCAGCUCUCUAAUUGGUAGCAGAUUUGUACUGGACUGCAAACACAGAGUUACCUAGACUUUGCUGUGGCAGAA
This is a long non-coding RNA of Psammomys obesus (fat sand rat), 851 nucleotides long. RefSeq lists it as uncharacterized. Lineage: Eukaryota; Metazoa; Chordata; Mammalia; Rodentia; Muridae. The record is from RefSeq and is a predicted model, not a curated record. The transcript has 3 exons.